CUGUUUUAUGACUUUUUUUAAUAUCUGUGUGAGCCUCAGAUAUAUAGAGUAGAUCUUUUGUGGCCCCAAUGUGAGAAUCCUGGUUUAAACAGUGAAAGUUCCACACACAAUAUAUCUUCAGAUGUUGAUGAUUAAUCACUGUGUACUGCAAGGUUAGCAGAUAAGAUUUGAAUAGGUUUUUUUUUUUUUUUAAAGCAGGUGAACGGUAAUUAUUAAAUUAAAUGGCACUCCGGGAAUUCACAAUCUCCAUGGCUCUAUGUAUUAAUGGACCCUCAAUGGCCCAGGAGAUGCCUAAAUGCCCAGUCUGCUUCACCAGAGGACAAGCGGAGUAAUGAGGAGACUAGACAUGUGCAAUUCAUUUCGUUCCGAAUGUACAUUCGUACAAAUUUCAUGACAUUCGGAUGCUUAUGUCCGAAGUGACGAAGUUCAGUAGUUCGGAAAUUGUUUGGAUUUCAAAAGUGGCAAAACAAGAGAUAGGGAGGGAAAAUGAUGUGAAUGAUGGCAGGAAUCUUGACCAAUAAGCUAAUUUCUUUUGUGCAAUGUAAUGCUUGCUUGCCCAAUCCGGUUUCACUAUUCCCAAGCCAAGUAAUGGUGAUUUUGUUACUGACACUUGGCCAAUGAAGGCACACAGAGUCAUUGAGGUGGGAUAGUAUAUAAAUCAGGCUGUCAGGGUGUUGACUUACAUUCAUGUGACCAGUGGACAU
Pelobates cultripes (western spadefoot toad) is the source of this 704-nucleotide non-coding RNA. The record is from the annotation of a GenBank genome assembly. Lineage: Eukaryota; Metazoa; Chordata; Amphibia; Anura; Pelobatidae.